This 351-nucleotide ribosomal RNA is filed under the name Triticum aestivum (bread wheat). Its description in RNAcentral is "partial small subunit ribosomal RNA". Lineage: Eukaryota; Viridiplantae; Streptophyta; Magnoliopsida; Poales; Poaceae. The record is from RNAcentral.
AUGGAUCUGGACGGUUUCCCACUUGACCACGAGUUUUCGGAUGACUACGGUCAAGAGGAAGAGGACGAGUGCAACAUCGAAGUGGAGCCUUUGUUCGAGGACGAGCUCGCCAACCAAGCUGUCGGGCCGAAGCUAAAGCGCAAGAGCAAGCGGACGAAGGCAUACACGGCGGCCGAGAACAAGCUUCUUUGCGAGUGUUCGCGAGACAUUGGACAAGACCCCAAGACGGGCGCCGAACAAAAGCAUUCAACUUUUUAAAUUUCUGUCCACCAGGAGUUUCAUGAAUGCAAGAAGUUUCUGCCUUACCAAAUAGUGAGCACGCGCGGGUGGGUGUCCAUUUCGAAGCGAUGA